RNAcentral lists this ribosomal RNA (547 nucleotides) under uncultured bacterium. RNAcentral describes it as "bacterial SSU rRNA". It matches the Rfam family "Bacterial small subunit ribosomal RNA", at positions 777 to 1320 of the family's 1533-position model. The record is from RNAcentral.
AAUAGAUACCCGGGUAGUCCAUGCCGUAAACGUUGGGAACUAGGUGUGGGUCUCAUUCCACGAGAUCCGUGCCGCAGCUAACGCAUUAAGUUCCCCGCCUGGGGAGUACGGCCGCAAGGCUAAAAACUCAAAGGAAUUGACGGGGGCCCGCACAAGCGGCGGAGCAUGCGGAUUAAUUCGAUGCAACGCGAAGAACCUUACCAAGGCUUGACAAUACACCGGAAACAUCCCAGAGAUGGGUGCCCCGCAAGGUCGGUGUACAGGUGGUGCAUGGUUGUCGUCAGCUCGUGUCGUGAGAUGUUGGGUUAAGUCCCGCAACGAGCGCAACCCUCGUUCUAUGUUGCCAGCACGUGAUGGUGGGGACUCGAUAGGAGACUGCCGGGGUCAACUCGGAGGAAGGUGGGGAUGACGUCAAAUCAUCAUGCCCCUUAUGUCUUGGGCUUCACGCAUGCUACAAUGGCCGGUACAAAGGGCUGCGAAACCGUGAGGUGGAGCGAAUCCCAAAAAACCGGUCUCAGUUCGGAUUGGGGUCUGCAACUCGACCCCG